GACGAACGCGGCGGCGUGCCUAAUACAUGCAAGUCGAGCGAAGUUUUUCUGGUGCUUGCACCGGAAAAACUUAGCGGCGAACGGGUGAGUAACACGUAAAGAACCUGCCUCAUAGACUGGGACAACUAUUGGAAACGAUAGCUAAUACCGGAUAACAGCAUUAACUGCAUGGUUGAUGUUUAAAAGUUGGUUUUGCUAACACUAUGAGAUGGCUUUGCGGUGCAUUAGCUAGUUGGUGGGGUAAAGGCCUACCAAGGCGACGAUGCAUAGCCGACCUGAGAGGGUGAUCGGCCACACUGGGACUGAGACACGGCCCAGACUCCUACGGGAGGCAGCAGUAGGGAAUCUUCCGCAAUGGGCGAAAGCCUGACGGAGCAACGCCGCGUGAGUGAAGAAGGAUUUCGGUUCGUAAGGCUCUGUUGUUAGGGAAGAAUGAUUGUGUAGUAACUAUACACAGAGAGACGGACCUACCA
RNAcentral lists this ribosomal RNA (473 nucleotides) under Gemella haemolysans. RNAcentral's name for it is "bacterial SSU rRNA". It matches the Rfam family "Bacterial small subunit ribosomal RNA", at positions 28 to 484 of the family's 1533-position model. The record is from RNAcentral. Lineage: Bacteria; Bacillati; Bacillota; Bacilli; Caryophanales; Gemellaceae.